GAACAACGGCGAACACCUUCCCAAGUUCUGCAGGGAAGGCAACGGAUGGCGCGUCACAAGGAGGCAGGAACAGCGGUGCGGCGCGCGGCUUGAAAAGGCGGGAAACCUUGUCUGAUGAGACGAGAGGCCUUCUCUGCGCGUCCUUUUGGCAAACUCUAAUUGCCACAGCAGGUUCCCUCAAGCCCUGUGCCUUUGCUGCAGGUGGUGGCCUCUGGUGGACGAUGAAUCAGCAACGGUUGUAUUUUAAAAGGCUGCCCCGUUUCCCAGGCACAGAACAAGAGCGGUGUGUUUGCUAGAAGAACACAUCCGGGUAAUUAAUUAUUUUGAAUCCUGGCCUUCUUUAAAGGCAGGGCCUUGGGCCUUCUUGUGAGUCUGCGGAGUAUAAACAACAAAGUAUACUUGCUAUUCCCCUCCCCCAGCAUCACGUCUUCCACAGAAUUCCGCUGAACCGCCCUAUUUCUGGAAAUCCGCCCCCCACCCCGCCUUCAGUUUCCUGCCUUAGGGCUGGUAUCUAGGACUUCCAGAACAAAACCGUGUAUAAUCUGACGAAAGAAACUAUUGCUUGCCAAAGGCCAUCAAUCAAUAUAACCUUCCCUCUGUCUCUGAGGAGCUCCUGAGCAGAGCUGCUUUUCUUUUUGGACUUCCUGGGUGUCUCUUCGUGUGACAUGGAACUACAUAUGUCCUAAAAUACAUACGCUAAAGUUGAUGAGAUUCAUAUUUUGGGGCGAGGGACACAUGAGUUUUAAAGUAUUGUGGCAUGGAAGGUUGAUUCACACAUGCAGUCACUUGUGACUGCCAGGCGUGAGCAUUGCUGAAUAAAUAUGACAGCUCUGUCACGUUUGAUCUGAGAAGGCUGGUCCACACAUGCAAGUCAUCCAUAGAUGUUGGACGAAUACGCACGCGUGAACUCACAUUCAGUUCCUUAGGUCUAAGACGCAAGUCCCUCCGAACUCCUGCUCAGUUGUGAAUUCACUGGACUACUUAAGGAAAGCCACUAGUUUUCAGACGAAUCUACUUCACAAGGUUGGAGAGGGAACCAAGGAGAACGCUACUGUAAAACAUUGGAAAGCGCUAGAAAAAUGAGAAUGUUCUUGUUAGUUGCUUUCAUAGCUGUUGCUGCUAUGAUUUUGACUAUUUUUGUAGCAACCCCAAACAGGGCUAAGUAGCUCCCCUCAUCUUAUGGGCCAGCAGCCUCCCGGCCUCCGCCAGAACCGCGGCCCAGCAUCUGAGCCUCUUCCCGCCAGGAUAUGGCGUCUCCUCCACAGCGGAGCCCGCCAGUUUGUCAGCCUGGGUCCUAGUUCAGUCCCCUCGUGCGCGCAGCAGGGGGCUCUGGUUUCACUUGUUGCCCUGCAGGCCGCUUGCAGCAGCAGGAGCCAUCAACGUUUCUGCUGCCGGAUGAUUGUAAAUAGGUUUGACUAGCCGCUGAUCCCGGGGUCAGGGCUCUUCUCCUCACUUAAUCCCGCGCUCUCCAAACACCCUCGCCGCCCCCACUCCCGUCUCCUAUUCACUCCGCAUCACUAAGCUUCGCCUCCCACCCCUGCUUCUGCGGUUCCCGCGACACCCAAUGGAAGGAGCUCCAAGCCAGCAGCUUCAGGGGCAAGGUCUAGCCACGCCAGCCGCAGGAAGCUCCAGGCGGUUGUGGGCCCUAAUCUGUAUUUACUAUUAUAGGGAAGCCAGGGAGAAGGGGACAAGAGUUUGCUUGUAGAAAGACCAAUACUCCGCACCUCCUUCGGAUAAAGGAGAAAGGAGGGAUUCCUAAAGGAUUUACCAUGAAGCUGAGAGGCUCUACAGCCUGGAAGGCCCUCCUACUGAAGAGGCAGGAGUCUCUAAAGAGCAACUGAGGAGAACUCAAAAGAAAAUAAGCGUGAUUUAAAUUGCGAGGAGAGGGGGAGGGGAGAUCGAAGGAAGCUACAAAAGCAGAAACUUAAUUGAAGCAAGAGGAAUAUCUGGAAAUCGGGGAGAACCCGAAUGAAAGCGAGAAGCGCCUUAACCCAUGUGAAGUACCACCAUCUACCAUCAGUGAAAGUUAGUUGCGCCUAAAUCUAACAUAAAGCAAUAGAACUCGCUUUAAUUGUGCUUAAAUUGAAUCCCGUUAAUUUCAACGGGAUUUAGUCACGACCAACCUUUGCUGUAUAGUGAACCAGACUAUUACAGGUCGGAGAAUCUAAGAGGAAAAAUGAAGGGUGACCCGCUGAGUUGGAGGUGGGUGGAGAACUGGAAUGGUUCUGGUAGAAGGAAGGCGCUCGCAAGGAAAAUGAGGACGUCCAGAGCCUGACCUAAAAAAGUGUUACCAAAUCCCUAACAGCUGCAAACAAGCCUACUUUGCAGCGGUUACAGAACAGCCCUAUGAAUCUGGCCCUGUUUCGCCUCCCAUCUGACCUGUCUGAAAAAAAGAGGCAUAGAGGGAUAUUCCGCUCUACUAAAAGCAAGGAGUUCACCUAAGAUAUACUUUUAUCUCCACCAUGCGUUUGCAGGAUAAAAGUAGACAAUAAUGAAGACGGGGGAGGAGAUUAGAAACAAAACAAAAAGCCAAACUCCUAGAGACUAAAGACUGCUGGAAAGAAAGUAAGGGGGCGGGGAGAGAAAAAGCACAAGGAAAGUACUGAAGAGUAAAGGGAUAGAGAAAGAGCCUCGUCUUGAGGGAGAAAAUAAUCCUGGAGGAAUCCUGAGCUAGACAAAUGGAAGUGAAAGUCACUAAUAAAAGUGAAAUGGCGUCGGAGGCUUGGCAUAUAACAAUGAUUUCAUGCAAACCAACUUAUCCUACUAAAUCACACGAAGCCAGGGAAUCCUGGUGUCACAGAAUAGCCGAUCCCAAUAGCCCUUCUGAGUUCCUCUUUCGGGAUCACCACCUUGCACCGGGGUUUUAUGAAGAUUAUGAUUUGACCUGCUUGCCCACAGAAAGAGAAAAGAAAACAAGCAAAGCCAAUACAACCGACAUGACGUAAUGAACUUUUUUACUCUGGGAGAAGAAAGCGAUAUUGAGCACAUUUCAGCCUAUUAAGUAAGGAUGUUACGCCCUAAAAGUGUCGCAGUUGUGUCACACGUAGAACUAAAGGAAUCAGGAAAGGAGGAGCAGCCGAGAGAUACACCGAGAGAAGAGCCCAGCAGCCAUACACCGCGCACCGAACUGGGAUUAAAUGAGUUUGCCUUGGCCAAUCGGAGUGCGCCGGCGGGGGAUUAUUUGCAUGGCGCACUGAGGAGUGACGUCCGGAGGUUGAAAUGAAAUCCUGUAUGCAUAUCAACGAGAUCUGAAGAGCAUCUUCUCAACGUAUCUCCCCGCAUUUUGUCAUUAUCCCUAGACAAAACUGACUGAUUUGCCUUACAGCUGAAGUGAAGUUGACAUCCCUGAGUCCCUGUUCUCCGAAAUCAACGAAAACGCUUUCCUUUGCACGAUAUUCUUCAUUUUGUUCUUCACAAAGGGGCAAGGAAAAGUGAAUGUAAAAAGCCACAUUGAGUAAUACAAAUAGGAGCCAAACGAAUAGAUAGAGUAUGGGGAGGGGGGAAAGAAAGAAAGAAAGAAAGAAAGAAAGAAAGAAAGAAAGAAAGAAAGAAAGAGAAAUUUCAUGGAGACAAAAUUUAUUCAAAAUUCUUGGGGGUUCCCCCCUUUAAUAAAAAAAGGAUAACAACAAGGAAAGAGGCGCAGACUCUUAUUAUUCUACUAAUAAUAGCCUCUGGUGUGGGUUUUAAAAGAAUAAAGACCUGUGCUGUACUGGAGUGAAACUUGGAAUGAGAUUAUGCAAACGUAUUGAUAUGAUUAAGAUAUUUAGGGGGAAAUACUGUCUAAGUAGCUCAAAUUCUUUUUCCGUCCGCGACCGUUUUUUGUUCUCCCUACAACAACACUCUUAGAUUUUUGGAUGUUGCAGAGCGAGCUGAUAUAGAGGCACUCCGGCCAAUUCAGUUCAAAUCUAUUUUCCAAACACUUCGGCCAAGUUUGGAAAACCGCUGGGUUUACAUGUAGCAGCCUCCCGGGUUUCUAGUAAGGCAAAAUGCAACACAUUUUUCGUUGCGUCUAAAAAGCAGAGGCAUUUAUGGGUUACCUAUAUAUACUGGAGUUACAGUAACUGCAGAGAAGCAAGUAACAUCACUGGCUGCCUUUGCUACACGUCGGGAUCACACCGAGUCGACUUAGGGGC
Molecule: long non-coding RNA, 4133 nt
Organism: Hemicordylus capensis (graceful crag lizard)
Lineage: Eukaryota; Metazoa; Chordata; Lepidosauria; Squamata; Cordylidae
Exons: 5
Source: RefSeq, a predicted model, not a curated record